UGAGGAAUAUUGGACAAUGGGGGCAACCCUGAUCCAGCCAUGCCGCGUGAGUGAAGAAGGCCUUCGGGUUGUAAAGCUCUUUCGGCGGGGACGAAACGGUCCGUGACAACACCACGGACUAAUGACAGUACUCGCAGAAGAAGCACCGGCUAACUACGUGCCAGCAGCCGCGGUAAUACGUAGGGUGCAGGCGUUAAUCGGAAUUACUGGGCGUAAAGCGUGCGCAGGCGGCUCCUUAAGUCAGAUGUGAAAUCCCCGGGCUUAACCUGGGAACUGCGUUUGAAACUGAGGGGCUAGAGUGUGGAAGAGGGGGGUGGAAUUCCAGGUGUAGCAGUGAAAUGCGUAGAGAUCUGGAGGAACACCGAUGGCGAAGGCAGCCCCCUGGGCUAACACUGACGCUCAUGCACGAAAGCGUGGGGAGCAAACAGGAUUAGAUACCCGCGUAGUCCCUGAGCGGGC
Molecule: ribosomal RNA, 459 nt
Filed under: uncultured bacterium
Lineage: Bacteria
Description: bacterial SSU rRNA
Rfam family: Bacterial small subunit ribosomal RNA
Source: RNAcentral